UCAGCCGAUCGGGCAAUCGCUGUCCUGCUUGCACAUUGACAUUGUGGCAACAGGAGGGAGGAAAGUCCGGGCUCCACAGGGUAGGACGCCAGGUAACGCCUGGGCAGUGUAAGCUGACGGAAAGUGCCACAGAAAAGAGACCGCCUGAUUAUUUUCAGGUAAGGGUGAAAAGGUGCGGUAAGAGCGCACCGCGCAGCCGGUAACGGUUGUGGCAGGGUAAACCCCGUCCGGAGCAAGACCAAAUAGGAAUGCGAUGGUGUGACCCGCACUGCAUUCGGGUAGGUUGCUAAAGGCAUGUGGUGACACAUGCUGUAGAUGAAUGAUUGUCCACGACAGAACCCGGCUUACAGAUCGGCUGCUUUU
Molecule: RNase P RNA, 363 nt
Filed under: Thiothrix nivea
Lineage: Bacteria; Pseudomonadati; Pseudomonadota; Gammaproteobacteria; Thiotrichales; Thiotrichaceae
Description: RNase P RNA component class A
Rfam family: Bacterial RNase P class A
About the family: Ribonuclease P (RNase P) is a ubiquitous endoribonuclease, found in archaea, bacteria and eukarya as well as chloroplasts and mitochondria. Its best characterised activity is the generation of mature 5'-ends of tRNAs by cleaving the 5'-leader elements of precursor-tRNAs.
Source: RNAcentral